GGGUGUUGGUUUGGUCAGCAUAGAUGUGCAGUGAAACUGGAGGGCUACUUUUCUAAUAUAAUUUCUUGGUAGUGGUUGGUUUGACAACUGCAGUUAUGGUACCUGGAUGGAUGACUUAUUACACUACCUUCGUACUGAUAUCACUCACUCUUAUAUUCCAUGCCUUCAUUUAAUGAACAAAUCUCAGAAGAGUGGGAAUGCCCCGUUGAAAUGAGGAGUUUUAUUAAGGAGCACAAAUCCAUGAUCAGUCACAGAUUCGAGUUGACGACUGUGGCUAUGAUCCCUGGAUGAAUGGCUUGUUAUACUGCCUUCCUCUUGAUGUUGUAUCUUAUAUUCUAUGCAUCUGCUAGUGAAUAAAUCUCAGAAGAAUGGGCAGCGCCCUGCUGAAAUGACAAGUUUUUGUAAGGAGUACAAAUCCAUGUUCAGAUGCUCUGAUGGCAAAUUUAGUUUUGCAAGUCUUGCUUUGCGAUGAGAUGCAGUCUUUGAUAUAAUAGCAAGGGGAUCACACCAAAACCAGAAUGCUCCCGGUUAUGACCCAUGAGUUCAAGUCAUGGAAACAAUUUCUUCAAUUGCCGAGGGAAGGCUAUGCAUGUCAGGCCUUCCUCAAAGCUGUGGAUAUAUGUUGGGAAGUUUGUGUAGGGGGUGUCGCACCCAAGUCUGAAGGUCAUGGUUAUUGGUUCAUGGAAACAGGCUCUUUGAUUGUGAAGGUCAUGUGAAGUUCAUGUCGUCUCAGCAUUGAAAUUCUCUCACUCCUCCAAAAACCAAGAAAAGGAUUUAAAAACUGAACUAUGGAAGGUAAAUAACGUUCAGAGACAUGAAUGGAUCCAGAGAUGCUGUGGAGUAUGAUUCAGUUUUUGGCUUCUUUAUGGUGUUCUGCUUCUGAUUUGUUUCUGGUCGGCUUAUUGGUGUGCAAAAAAUGAAACUAGGGAGCUAAUUUUCUAAUAUAUUCUUUAUGGUUUCUUUUCUAAUGAUCUGGCGUAUUGUAAUCUCUUUUUGUAAUAUUAUUUGUUCUAACUGAAAAAUUCUUCAAGCAGAAUCUCUGGUUGGAAUCAACUAAAUAAAUUCUGUUUGAAAAAGCUACAUCAAUCAUUUUAUAGAAUCUGUACA
Malania oleifera is the source of this 1107-nucleotide long non-coding RNA. RefSeq lists it as uncharacterized. The record is from RefSeq and is a predicted model, not a curated record. The transcript has 2 exons. Lineage: Eukaryota; Viridiplantae; Streptophyta; Magnoliopsida; Santalales; Ximeniaceae.